Molecule: unclassified non-coding RNA, 228 nt
Filed under: Hevea brasiliensis (rubber tree)
Lineage: Eukaryota; Viridiplantae; Streptophyta; Magnoliopsida; Malpighiales; Euphorbiaceae
Source: RNAcentral
AAAGGGCGAUUUGGUUGGGGGGAAGGAAACUGAACUUUGCCAAGCCAACACACGAAUCAACUAAAAGCUUUGAAAUCUAUCAGGGCGGCAAACAUAAAUUAGCCUUAUGAGACAGAGAAGAUGCAUCACGAAAUGAAACUUUCUCCUAAAUCUCAUAUAUCCACCUGAUGUGCAAUUCCAAACAACAGUUUUUCAGCUCAAGAGACAACAUAUUAAAUUGCCUUUUUG